This 4021-nucleotide ribosomal RNA is filed under the name Triticum aestivum (bread wheat). RNAcentral's name for it is "partial small subunit ribosomal RNA". Lineage: Eukaryota; Viridiplantae; Streptophyta; Magnoliopsida; Poales; Poaceae. The record is from RNAcentral.
GAUCCCUCGACCACAGGGGGAGAGGGGCUAGGUUUAGGGAGGAGGCGGCGGGAGGAGGGGGUAGGUCUAGGUCUAGGGAGGGGUGGGGAGGGUAGGUGAGGGCGUCGGCUGCGGGGUGGGAGUGGCAGCUGCUGGGUGCGGCGGCGGCGUGUGGUGGCGCGGGAGGGGAGUGGGACCGCGUUAAGUUAGGUUGGGGCGCGCGUGUGGCGACGGCGGCGGCAGUUGGGGAAGGAGGGAGGGGAGGGAGUGUGGGUACCACAAGCGCGAGUUCCGGAGGCGGAGGGGGCGGGAGUGGUGACGGAGGAGCCGCCGCAAGGGGAGGAAGAGUCGGCGGAGGCGCCGCGGCUCCCCGGCGCGGCGGUGCCGGUCCUCUCAGAGCGAGAUGCCCCGGCGUGGGCGCUGGACGAUGGAGCGCGGACGCUGUUGAGGCCGCGACGAGGUGGGCGCGGGCACGGUGGACGGCGAGGGCGGGGCCGCGGCCGCGGCUCCGGUAGGGGCGGGUGGUACUGAACCUGCGGUACACCCUACGGACGGAGCUGGAGAGGUAGGCAGUAGCGGAUACGGGGAGUGGCCGAAGCCCCCGGAGUAGGAGAAGACAUUCUAGGGGAGGCAGGGUGGAGAGGGAAGGGGAGCGACGUAGCGCUCUAGACAAGCGACGCGGAGGUAAACAUAGAGCUCUAUAUAAUCCGGUCGACGGAAACGAGACUAGCUGUCCAACCUCAGUGCCUACUCAACUUGAGAGGGGAAAAGAGGAUUCUACUGUAUGAACGAAAGAAAGAGACCGGACUAAUGAUCUCAAUACUCGGUAUCAAGACUCAUGUUCGGUAUAUUUAUUGUCUUCUUUUGGUACUUGGUUUAAUGGUCUUCAGUAGAAGACCUCACGAAACGACUGAAAUUGUCUACAUCUUAACUAUGGUAGUGUCUCUGGGAACAGUCUACAUUACCGAUGUUAUUGUAAGAAGAACUGUAAAUGGGUACCGUGAACUGUUGUCGUCGUUCUGGCAUGACGUGGCGACGACUUGAUAACCGGACCGACACGAGACAUGGAACUAAACCAAAAUUCAUCGUUCCUCACGGAAUCAUGAAAACAGUACACCACAAUCAUGAACGUAAGACAAGACAAAACACAACAUGAGGUUAAUCCACGAACUUUAAAGCAAUCAUGGAGGUUUUAAUAGAGUACGAAAAUUCUACACGGUAACACAACUAUAUAAAAUAGAAAUAAAAAGAAAUGUAAAAUAUACGACAUGGAUAGAACCAAACUUGAUCUAUUCCUACUAGGAAAUGGAUCUACUAUUUGUUAAUUGAUCGAGUCGGAUUCGAUACUAGAUGUUUAAAGAACUGCCUGUACAUGAUGAAACCACCUCUACUACUAGGAAAGGGGUCUACUAGCUGUUACUUGUACGACUCGCGAUAUUAAAGAGAAAUCCUCUUUGGUUCGGUCCUGAGACUAGACGGGUCAUCAUGUCUAUAAACAAGAAAUAACGAACGAUGACAAAACAUCAAACAAUAGAAAGAAACCGUGGUACCUACAUAAAAAAUUACAAAACUAUACGGGUAAUACGCCACUUUUGACUAAUGAUCACCUAGAUAAGUAUACCGGUAGCUCAUACUCAGUAUCAUUAAGAGUUUAAGAGGUUUGUCUACAUCCAAAGAGACACGAUCUAAAUGAUGUUGUAAGAUAAACAAAAGUUACACGGUAAGCUAAACCUCCUAUACUACUAGGAAAAGGACUACUAACCGUUACUUGUACGACUCGAGAUAAUAAAGAGAAGUCUCUUUGGUUCGGUCAUAAGACUAGGAGGAUCGGUAACAUCUACGGACAUAAGUAUACCGGUAACACCUAUUAAGAUACGAAAUUAUUAAGAGGACUAUAUAGUGACAAAUAAUCAUCCUAUAAAGAAGACGAACCGGUAUUGUUGUUAAAGUACAACAAAGAAAACAUUAAGCUACCAACUGUCAGAGUAUAUAAUGUGAUCGAUUAUAUAAUGUUGUCUUACUUAGUUGAUGAGAGCACCAGCUAGGGUAGGUUAGAUCAUAAUAAAUGGCAGAUAGACAGACAUACAUAAAUGAGACUUGUUUUAAGUCAGACGUGUAGACGUAAACGUUACGUGUUCAUGUCUAUGUAGGCGGGGACGAUAAAAGAACAAUAUGUAAUGUAUCUGCGUAUGUGUGCGGCCCGAUAAAGACACAGACAGACGGACCGGAGAGUUCCUACGUAUAGAGAAAGCAUACAUAACUUAAAACAUUGUUAAAACAAAAGGAGUAUGAAUGUUCUACUACACGAGCGAUGAAUGUACAAAAGACUACGGCGUUGUUUCCUGAUAUACACCAAAGAAGUCACCCCAACAGUGACAGCGAGGAGUACAAGUUAUUGUAAAGUCGUAACCUGGACGAUCAGUGGGUUCGGUUCGGAGCGUAACGAAGUUGUUUCACUAUGAAGAAGGUUAGUUGGGGACGAAGCUGAGACGAGAAAAAAGGUAGAAGAGAAUAAAUUCGAUUCUUUCUAAGACUCAAACGUAGGUAGAGUAAUGUGAUCGAUCGUCUUAUAUAAUCAAUUCCGUUGAGAUGAUGUAUAGUUAAAGGGCAUGACCUAACCAAGAUAUAAAAAUUUCAACAAAGCACCACGUACUCGCGUUGGUCUUCUUUAUAUCCGAAUACUACUGUUAAAAGGAAGAAUUCAUUAGUAUCAACAACCGAAGCCAUCGAACGACUUAUACGAAAUCAAUAUAUAUCUUUACUGCACGGAAGAUACGAAUUUACUAACAAACCGAGAUAUAUUAAGAACUGUACUUAUAGAACUGAAGGGUUUGUUCAUAUCCUGACAUGGAUACGUAUGUCUAAUAGGAUUGUUUUGACUUUUAUUUUUAACUUCGUACUUUAUUCGUUAUUCACCAACUAAAAAUAAACGUACAAUUCGCCUUUCAACAUCGGUUCCGAAUAUAUAAUGCUUUAUAACAGUGUGGAGACUCGAAGAUGACAACAAUCCCUGUAGUAUCACACUAGAAGUACUAAAAAGUGAACUGCUACAUGACUAAGUAAUCAGUUCGUCUCUGGCUUCAGUAGAAAACGAUGACAAUCGAGAUACCUACAAAUAAAUGGAUGUUGAAGACGGUCGAGAUUCAACCAAUAUAUCGUCAAGUUAAGUCAGUUAGACAACCUUGAGCAAACAGAUAAUGAGCAUAGGUCUAAAAUAUAGGACGGGAUACGGUAACAGCUGAACGAAUCUAUGUAUUAACAAUACAGAACGUUAGACCAUAACUACUAACAGUUACAUAAGUAAAUAUGGAAAUAUCACAUGGAACAUACACUGGGUCGACUAAACAUAUUGUUACGAGACAAAGGUUAUCUACAUACAACUACGGACUACCGGCUAAGGAAUUUUGAAGUGACAACGUCAUCGUAAAAUUGAAUCACGUAUCUACAUACUCGUUAGUGAAUACGAACUUUGGAACGAGAGAAAGGGUCCUUGGUAGCACCAGACGCAGUGAUGACCCCGUCCUCUCCUUUCUGACAACCACAGAGGUUCUUCGCUAUUUGACGAAGUCUUUCUAGGGGCGUAUCGAAGUGAUGAUGACACAACCAGGUAAAGGUCUUAGCAUUCCUCACAAGAACAAAUCUGCUAGUGGAACCUACUACGAAAACGAAUUCCUCUCCGAGUUCUUCUAGUCCCUCGAGGUGUAGGCUCAAAGUCGGUAGGAGAUGUCGUUCCUCGAGACCCGGUUUCCUCGUUCGUCGCGACGAUCAAGGAACUCCGGUCUAGCUCAUUCUACCGCGUGGUACCGCACACCACCGCAUAAAACGAAGGCUCUUGUCAUGACAAAUAAACUUCACUCUACAUGAGUAGAUCACGGACCGUUUUUGACUUCCUACUUCACAGUACAUGACAGAUACAACAUCACUCGAUAUCCUCACUUUACUUUUAAAUAGACAACCACAUACACGAUAAAGGGACAUUACACAACACAUGUAAAAUGAACUUGUAAUUUAAGGAUCUUUUUUACAAGAAUGACCUGGACUA